This 272-nucleotide ribosomal RNA is filed under the name Klebsiella pneumoniae. RNAcentral describes it as "partial 23S ribosomal RNA". It matches the Rfam family "Bacterial large subunit ribosomal RNA", at positions 2286 to 2557 of the family's 2925-position model. Lineage: Bacteria; Pseudomonadati; Pseudomonadota; Gammaproteobacteria; Enterobacterales; Enterobacteriaceae. The record is from RNAcentral.
CCUCCCAAAGCGUAACGGAGGAGCACGAAGGUUAGCUAAUCCUGGUCGGACAUCAGGAGGUUAGUGCAAUGGCAUAAGCUAGCUUGACUGCGAGCGUGACGGCGCGAGCAGGUGCGAAAGCAGGUCAUAGUGAUCCGGUGGUUCUGAAUGGAAGGGCCAUCGCUCAACGGAUAAAAGGUACUCCGGGGAUAACAGGCUGAUACCGCCCAAGAGUUCAUAUCGACGGCGGUGUUUGGCACCUCGAUGUCGGCUCAUCACAUCCUGGGGCUGAA